Molecule: ribosomal RNA, 767 nt
Filed under: Marinobacter sp.
Lineage: Bacteria; Pseudomonadati; Pseudomonadota; Gammaproteobacteria; Pseudomonadales; Marinobacteraceae
Description: bacterial SSU rRNA
Rfam family: Bacterial small subunit ribosomal RNA
Source: RNAcentral
AGCAGGGGGAGCUUACCAUGCAGUCGAGCGGUAACAGGGGUAGCUUGCUACCCGCUGACGAGCGGCGGACGGGUGAGUAAUGCAUAGGAAACUGCCCAGUAGUGGGGGAUAGCCCGGGGAAACCCGGAUUAAUACCGCAUACGUCCUUCGGGAGAAAGCAGGGGAUCUUCGGACCUUGCGCUAUUGGAUGUGCCUAUGUCGGAUUAGCUGGUUGGUGAGGUAAUGGCUCACCAAGGCGACGAUCCGUAGCUGGUCUGAGAGGAUGAUCAGCCACAUCGGGACUGAGACACGGCCCGAACUCCUACGGGAGGCAGCAGUGGGGAAUAUUGGACAAUGGGGGCAACCCUGAUCCAGCCAUGCCGCGUGUGUGAAGAAGGCUUUCGGGUUGUAAAGCACUUUCAGUGAGGAGGAAAAGUUAGUCCUUAAUACGGGCUAGCCUUGACGUUACUCACAGAAGAAGCACCGGCUAACUCCGUGCCAGCAGCCGCGGUAAUACGGAGGGUGCAAGCGUUAAUCGGAAUUACUGGGCGUAAAGCGCGCGUAGGUGGUUUGAUAAGCGAGAUGUGAAAGCCCCGGGCUUAACCUGGGAACGGCAUUUCGAACUGUCAGGCUAGAGUGUGGUAGAGGGUAGUGGAAUUUCCUGUGUAGCGGUGAAAUGCGUAGAUAUAGGAAGGAACACCAGUGGCGAAGGCGGCUACCUGGACCAACACUGACACUGAGGUGCGAAAGCGUGGGGAGCAAACAGGAUUAGAUACCCUUGGUAAGUC